RNAcentral lists this ribosomal RNA (712 nucleotides) under uncultured Bacillota bacterium. RNAcentral describes it as "bacterial SSU rRNA". It matches the Rfam family "Bacterial small subunit ribosomal RNA", at positions 609 to 1323 of the family's 1533-position model. Lineage: Bacteria; Bacillati; Bacillota. The record is from RNAcentral.
UCAACCGUCGACGCGCUUCGGAAACUGGGGGACUUGAGGGCAGGAGAGGCGAGCGGAAUUCCCGGUGUAGCGGUGAAAUGCGUAGAGAUCGGGAAGAACACCAGUGGCGAAGGCGGCUCGCUGGACUGGCCCUGACGCUGACGCGCGAAAGCGUGGGGAGCGAACGGGAUUAGAUACCCCGGUAGUCCACGCCGUAAACGAUGGGCACUAGGUGUGGGAGGUAUCGACCCCUCCCGUGCCGGAGUUAACACACUAAGUGCCCCGCCUGGGGAGUACGGCCGCAAGGUUGAAACUCAAAGGAAUUGACGGGGGCCCGCACAAGCAGUGGAGCAUGUGGUUUAAUUCGACGCAACGCGAAGAACCUUACCCGGGCUUGACAUCCCCGGAACACCCGAGAGAUCGGGUGGCUCUACGGAGCCGGGAGACAGGUGCUGCAUGGUUGUCGUCAGCUCGUGUCGUGAGAUGUUGGGUUAAGUCCCGCAACGAGCGCAACCCUUGUCCCGUGUUACCAGCGUAAAGGCGGGGACUCACGGGAGACUGCCGGUGACAAACCGGAGGAAGGUGGGGAUGACGUCAAAUCAUCAUGGCCCUUAUGUCCGGGGCUACACACGUGCUACAAUGGCCGGCACAGCGGGAUGCGAAGGGGCGACCCGGAGCGAAUCCCUGAAAGCCGGUCCCAGUUCGGAUCGCAGGCUGAAACCCGCCUGCGUGA